This 4753-nucleotide long non-coding RNA is filed under the name Homo sapiens (human). RNAcentral describes it as "non-protein coding lnc-MAP3K13-3:5". Lineage: Eukaryota; Metazoa; Chordata; Mammalia; Primates; Hominidae. The record is from RNAcentral.
CUCUCUGUCCUUCGGUGGAGACUCCGGGAAAAACCUGCCUCCCAGUCUGCCCUCUCUCCGUCUGUCUGUGCUUGUUUUUCUACGUUUAUCCCUGUCGCUUUCCCCACUUAUUCUGCAGGCAUGGCGCGCCCCCAGUGCCGGCUUGGUGCCAGGGCUGGGAGAUCCGGGGGUGAAUCGUGAGCCCGGCCCACAGCGAGCUUGCAGUCUAGAGAUCAAGGCAGUCUUGUCCACAACCUGCUGUCACAUAAAGCAAAUGUAGCUGGUGUAGCACCAGGGGCUGCAAUCAAGUGCGGUGGGGCGGCAAUAGUGACCACGGAAAUAAUCAGAAUUGCUUUUAAUUCAGCUCCUACUAUAUUCCCGCAUCCCUGAGCCUCACAAUCAUCCUCCAAGGAUGUUCGCUUUGGCAGAUGAUUAGAAUACGUGCUGACUUGAUAGCCACAACUGUCCUGAUAAGAAAGUACGCCGGCCUGGCUGGGCAUGGUGGCUCACGCCUGUAAUCCGAGGAUUUUGGGAGGCCCAGGCGGGCGGAUCACUUGAUGUCAGGAGUUCGAGACCAGCCUGUCCAACAUGGUGAAACCCCGUCUGUACUAAAAAUACAAUAAUUAGCCGAGCAUGAUGGCAUGUGCCUGUAAUCCCAGCUACUCGGGAGGCUGAGGCACGAGAAUCGCUUGAACCUGGAAGGCAGAGGUUGCAGUUACUUUCCCGACAUUGCACCACUGCACUCCAGCCUUGGCGACAAGAGCGAAAUUUUGUCUCAAAAAAGAAAGAAAGAAAGCACUCAGGCCUGACCCAGGACCACAGCAGUGGACAUGGAGGGAGGAGGCUGGGGGUAGUUGGAUUGGUAUGAUAUGUCACUGAGUAAACGAAGGAAGGGACAGAAAGAGAACUCCAAAGUGUCAAAAGCCUGGACAACAGAGAGAAAGCAUCCUUGUCCUAUCAUUUAAAGCACCUGUUGGGCCAAAUAGGGAGCACCUUUCAGAAUCCAUGUGCACAAGAUCUCAGCAAUUCUACGUCCAAGAAUGUAACCUACAUCCAAGAAUGUACUGGAAUUUAAUUCCACAUCCAAGAAUCCCCAUAGGUAGCAAAGAUGUAUAUUUAAGGGUAUUCUCUCAGCUUUGUUUUUAUGUUAGGAGAUUGGGAACAACCUAAAUGCCCAUCAGCUGGUGACUGGCUAGGUUAACUAUUCACAAAUGGAAUACUAGGUAGCCUCCUAAAAGAGGAAAGCAAUUCUACAUAUCCUGAUACAGUGUGGUCACCAGAUAGAUGGCUAAGAUACAAAUAAAACAAACAAGUUGCAGUGUUAGAGUAUGCUAUGUAUCACUCCUUUUUAAGGACAAAAAGAGGAUAUACUUUAACUUUUUAAGAUACCAAAGUAUUUAUUUAUUUAAAAUUUUUUUCACAGAAUUGUUAUAGCAUGUAGAACCAAAAAUUAUUUACAAAUGAAAUUAUUCAAUGUCUGAGAUUUGUGUCAAAAUAAUGGUAUGGGGGUUUAGUGAGUAAGCAUGUAGGUAGAACAAGAUUGUCCAUGAGCUGAUAGUUGUUGAAGCUGGGUGAUCACCUGGGUGUUUUAUACUAUUUGGGUGUUAAACUAUUUUUUUUUCUAUUCUUGUGUAUGUGUCAAAUUUCCACUUAAGAAAAUGGGGGAAAAUGGUGUCAGCCCUCCAUUCCAGCUGAACACACCAUGUUAGUUCAUGCCCCAUCACACCACUCUUCUAGCCAUCUGUCAAUCUUCUCUGCCUGGCAAAUUUCUACUCUUUCAUCAGGACCCAGGAUAAUUAUCACCUUCUCUGAGAGGGCUUUUCCAACCCCUAUAGUCAGAAUCAUUCCUUCUCUAUGCUUGGGGCCCCCUGAGAAAUGUCUCUAAUCCUGUCACAAAUACAUAUUCCAGUGUCAUUAUCCAUCUCCCUAGUAGACAGUGAACAUUUCCAUCAAUGAGACAAUGUCUCAACUAUCUUCUUUCUGUCUCAACCCUUAACCCUGGCACUUAAUACUUGUUUGUUAAAUUCAUGGGUCAGGUCUAGUGAAGACAAUGAUUAGUUGUUUGGUUUGAUACAUACUGACCUUGAGAAGUCAAAGGGAUAUAGGAGGAGAGAAAGUGAAUGAGGAACUGAUGUUACUGAGCCUGUGCUAGGAGACUGCUGGGGCAAGGAAUAGAGUGAGGAGAAAGGAGGCAAGGCUCCUGCUGGCAAGGACCUCACUUUCAUUUCAGCUGGGGAAGAGCAUGGAAAGAUGUCAUUCUAGAGCAUGGUAAGUGCCAUGGAUGAAAUAGACAAGGCAAAACUUAUUCCACUUCAGCAAAGCGAGUGUCAAUAUUCUACUUAUGGAUGAGUGGAUGAACACAUGUUCAGAUGAAAUCACUUGUGCAAAGUUUACAGCUGUUAGUGCUGAACAGGAACAAGCCUUUGUCUGCCAUCAUGUGCGGCCAUGCUUUUUCCUCUGCCCUUCACUGCCAUUCGACAUGCAGGUGACACUCUGGAGCUCGGACCGAACAUUCAGAUUUGGAGGUCAUUCUACAGGAGAUAGUUGAAAUGAGGGGAGGGGAGAAGGUCUCCUAGAAACCACAAGAGAGGGAAAGUAACAGCAGCUGACUUUCAUUGAGUACUUAGUACACUCCAGACCCCAUACUAAGCAUUUUUUUUUUUGAGAUGGAGUCUCGCUCUGUUGCCCUGGCUGGAGUGCAGUGGUGCAAUCUCGGCUCACUGCAACCUCCUCCUCUUGGGUUCAAGCGAUUCUCCUGCCUCAGCCUCCCAAGUAGCUGGGACUACAGGUGUGUGCCACCACGCCCAGCUAAUUUUUUGUAUUUUUAGUAGAGCCAGCAUUUCAUCGUGUUAGUCAGGAUGGUCUUGAUCUCCUGACCUCAUGAUCUGCCCGCCUCAGUCUCCCAAAGUGCUGGGAUUACAGGCGUGAGCCACCGCACCUGGCCCAUACUAAGCCUUUUACACUUUUAAAAGUAAAAGUGAAAUCACUUUGCACAAGUGAUUUCAUCUGAACAUGUGUUCCUCCACUCAUCCAUAAGUAGAAUAUUGACACUUGCUUUGCUGAAGUGGAAUAAGUUUUGCCUUGUCAAUUUGUUUAUUUAUUUAUUUAUUUAUUUAUUUAUUUAUUUAUUCUAUUAUAUAUUUAUUUAUUCCAUAUAACAACCCUCAUUAAGUAGGAACUCUUUUUUGAGGGACAGGGUAUUACUGUGUUGCCCAGGCUAGUCUUGAACUUCUGGCCUGUGGUGUUCCUCCUGCCUUGGCCCCACAGAGUGCUGAGAUUACAGGCUUCAGCCACCAUGCCCGGUCUAAAGUAGGAACUCUUAACAGUCCCACAUUUAUAGCCUGGGAAAAUGAAGCUUAGGAAGAAUGAAGUCAACAGAGCAACAGAGGUCACACACCUCGCAAACAGCAGAGCCCAAAUGUCUUACCAUGCACUACCCUUUUGAGAAAGAAGACUGAAAUCAGGAGCCUGGUAAGGAAAUGGUGGAAACAGUGAAAGAGAACAAGAUGCACUGUUUCAUUUGUGAGAUGAGAAACAGAAAAAAAGAAAUGUCCUGAGAGCCCAAGAAAGACUGUUAGGAAAGGAACUGGGGCAAGUGUCAGAGUCCAUGGAGAAACCCAGCAGGGAAACCUGAGGGUCAUGGCAAUUGGCCAACACGAGGCGAUAAGGGACCUUUGAUGGAGCUAUUUUUGGUGGUGCUAACCUUCUUUGCUACAGGCUCACAACUGGAGCAUCUGCUUGCUUCCUCUGACCUGCCCCCUGGACUCAUGUUGUCAUUCUUCUCGCUCAACCUGUCUGCCUAGGGAAGAAGCCCUGGACUGUGUUUCCCCAAUCUCAGUAUUCCCAACCCUCCUGGCCCCCAACCCAGUACCUGCAGAGCUGACUCUAACCACCCAGUGCACCUCCCGCAGGCUGCAGCAGCCCCCAUCGAGGCCACUCAUUUACAGCACAGGCCCACACAGUCUGACAAAGGACAGCUGCAAUCCUCUGUCAACUGCAGUCCUUUCCCAGGCACAUGCUGGAUUGGGAAACAGGUGGGAGAAAAGAACAGACAUUUAUCAAGCACCUACUCUGUGCCUAGCAUUGUGCUAGGUGCUAGAGAGCCAAAAAUAAAUAGCAGCUGCUCUUGUGGAGGUCACAGUCUUGGAGGAGUUAAAGACACGGAAACAAAUUACAACACAGCGUAACAGCAGUGACAGAAGCACGUAUGAUAUGGUUUGACUGUGGCCCCACCAAAUCUCAUCCUGAAUUGUAGUUCCCAUAAUCCCCACUUGUGGUGGGAGGGGCCCAGUCGGAGGUAAUUGAAUCAUAAGGGUAGUUUCCCCCAUGUUAUUCUCGUGAUAGUGAGUUCUCAUGAGAUCUGAUGGUUUUAUAAGGGGCUUCCCCCUUCACUCAGCUCUCAUUCUUCUCUCUCCUGCCACCAUGUAAAGAAGGAUGUGUUUGGUUUCCCUUCCAUCACGAUUGUAAGUUUCCUGAGGCCUCCUCAGCCAUGUGGAACUGUGAGUCAAUUAAAUCUCUUUCCUUUAUAAAUUACCCAGUCUUGGGUAUUUCUUCAUAGCAGCCUGAGAAGGGACUAAUACAACAUACGAAGUUGGCAGCAAAGUGAGUGGUGGAAAGGAGAGUCAUGGAAAAGCAAACAAGGGAGGGUUAUAACUACAGCUUGGCAUCCUCCACUAAUGUUGUAAGGUCCUGGAGCAUUUUGGCAAUGGUGCUAAAAUGAGGAUGUAAGGACAAAAUCCCCUAGAUUUUCGACAGGUGAGCUUGUGAGGUGUUG